Molecule: ribosomal RNA, 464 nt
Filed under: uncultured bacterium
Lineage: Bacteria
Description: bacterial SSU rRNA
Rfam family: Bacterial small subunit ribosomal RNA
Source: RNAcentral
GACGAACGCUGGCGGCGUGCCUAACACAUGCAAGUCGAGCGAGGAGAGUUCCUUCGGGAACAAACCUAGCGGCGGACGGGUGAGUAACACGUGGGCAACCUGCCUUGUAGAGGGGAAUAGCCUUCCGAAAGGAAGAUUAAUACCGCAUAACAUUACAGUUUCGCAUGAAACAGUAAUUAAAGGAGUAAUCCGCUACAAGAUGGGCCCGCGGCGCAUUAGCUAGUUGGUGAGGUAACGGCUCACCAAGGCGACGAUGCGUAGCCGACCUGAGAGGGUGAUCGGCCACAUUGGGACUGAGACACGGCCCAGACUCCUAUGGGAGGCAGCAGUGGGGAAUAUUGCACAAUGGGGGAAACCCUGAUGCAGCAACGCCGCGUGAGUGAUGAAGGUUUUCGGAUCGUAAAGCUCUGUCUUCGGGGACGAUAAUGACGGUACCCGAGGAGGAAGCCACGGCUAACUACGUG